Molecule: non-coding RNA, 1180 nt
Organism: Arachis ipaensis
Lineage: Eukaryota; Viridiplantae; Streptophyta; Magnoliopsida; Fabales; Fabaceae
Source: RefSeq, a predicted model, not a curated record
UGGAUCAGUAAAAAAGUGGAGAAAUAUGUUCUUCAUUUUUCACAUUUCACUCUUAUGAUUUGGCAGGGCAUUAAUGUUAAAACUACAGAAAUGCAAGACGCAGCAAAGUCAUUUUCAUCAUUGACAAAUCAAGUGCUCCUAACAACAGAACAAGAUAGACGAAGUUCAUAAAAGGCACUCAACAAGUGGAUUCAGUUUACCCGAUUUUUGUUGGGAAAAAAACUUGUAUUUAAGUUUGUUUUAUAGUUUUGUAUAUUCUCUUUAGAAUUGUGAUCCUUUCCUCACACACAUUUCUAUUAGUUUCAGUUGUUAUUCAGUGUUCAAAUAUUCACAAAUAAAUAUACAUGUAAAAUAGCCGAGUUGAUGAGAACAGGACCAAAAUGAGCAUUAAGAAAUUGAUCUAACAAUCUUACGAAUAAGGUAAAUUAUUGCAUUGAUUCUUUAAUCUUCAAAUAAGCUAGUAAACAUGAAAGAAUCAAAUUAAAAUUUUAAAACAAUUAAAGCCUAGUAAGCUUCGAAGCAAAAGCUCCUACUGAAGUCGUUGCUCAAAUUAUGAAAUCUAUUAAGGUUAAAUACUCAAUUACAGGAUUACUGUUUAAGAAUAUAAAAUAACUGCAGCGCUCUUAAUUAUGAGUAAAAUGAAACAUUACCACGUAAAACACAACAAAACUAUUCACAAACAAAAUGCAGCAUAUUAGGAGAAUCGGUUCAGUGAUUGUGGAAGCCCCCAACUCUACCGAUACUAAUAUAUUCUUUAUCCGAAGGACAAAAGAACCAUCUUGUGUGGAAUCCUUGCGAGUAUAUGAAAUUUUCAAUUCUAAAUAGUAAAAUUAAAAUGUAGUUCAAACUUCAGUUACUUCCAUUUCAGUUUUCAGUUUUCACUGUGCUAAAUUGGCGGCCUUUCACUGUGACAACAAACUAAAUUAACUCAGGAAAUUCAGAAAAUUGAUCGGCAAGAGAAAAAGUAUAAUAGAGAAACCAAGUAUGUGAUUGAAGAUACUAGAGAGGUUAACUAUAAGUACAUAAUCAUGAUACUAUUAACCCUAAUUAACAUCAUUCACUAAUCUAAACCUAAAGAGAGAACAUAACAAGAAUUAAAAAGCUAAUAAUAAGCAAGAUAUUGGAAUUGGGUAAGAAUCCUAUCGAAUACUAAAUAGAACCCUAAUUAUCCGAAAAUGCU